UCACUGGAGUUUCUGAACAGGGAGUAUGUGAAGGUGGGCUCCAAAGGGCCAUCUUCCUGGCCAUAUGAAGAGAUCCCACUUGCAGAAUGAAGCCAGAUAGAAAAAAUGGGCAAAGAUAGGCCUGACACCUUGCUUAGCCACACCCCCACAGGACACAGCAGCGAUAAAAAUUAAGCCAUGAAUGAAAGUUCAGCUAAGCCAUAUUAAAUUAGGGUUGGUAAAUUUCAUGCCAGCCACUGCGGUCAUACAAUUAACCCGAAUUAAUAGACCCACAGCAUAAAGCGUGUUAUAGAGGAACCCCUCCCCACCCCGCGCUAAAGUUAAAUUUUAACUCAGCUGUAAAAAGCUACAGUUAACAUAAAAAUAUGGCACGAAAGUAACUGAACACCUCUGAUCACACGAUAGCUAAGACCCAAACAGGGAUUAGAUACCCCACUACGCUUAACCCUAAACUUAGAUAGCUAACUAAACAAAUCUGUCUGCCAGAGAACUAGCGACAGCUUAAAACUCAAAGGACUUUGCAGUGCUUUAUUUUAUAUCCCUCUAGAGGAGCCUGUCCUAUAAUCGAUAAAUCCCAAUAUACCUUACCACCCCUUGCUAAUCCAAUCUGUAUACUGCCAUCUUCAGCAAACCCUAAAAAGGAAGAAAAGUAAGCACAAGUAUCUUAACAUAAAAAAGUUAGGUCAAGCUGUAACCUAUGAGGUGGGAAGUAAUGGGCUACAUUUUCUAUCCUAGAACACUUUUCCACGAAAAGUCCUUAUGAAAUUAAGAACCAAAGGAGGAUUUAGUAGUAAAUUGAGAAGAGAGAGCUCAAUUGAAUUGGGCCACGAAGCACGCACACACUACCUGUCACCCUCCUCAACUGACAAAACCCGAAGACAAUCUAUUCAAACUAUAAAAAACACAAGAGGAGAUAAGCCGUAACAAGGUAAGCAUACUGGAAAGUGUGCUUGGAUAAAACAAGAU
This 966-nucleotide non-coding RNA is filed under the name Felis catus (domestic cat). Lineage: Eukaryota; Metazoa; Chordata; Mammalia; Carnivora; Felidae. The record is from Rfam by way of RNAcentral.